GCAUAAUCAUUUGCCGUUUAAUUGAUGGCUGGAAUGAAUGAAUAUACGUAAGCUCAACUGUCUCCUUUUUACCUAUAAAAAUUGACCCCCAAGUGAAGAGACUUGGAUUGACCAAAAAGACGAAAAGACCCUAUAGAGCUUCACCUGACCUUCACUCGUCCAAGAGAAGGUUUAGUUGGGGCAACUAGAGAGUACCUAAAACCUCUCUUCCAAAAAACCUAUUUAGAUCCGUUACACGACCAGCAGAGAAAGCUACCUUAGGGAUAACAGGCUAAUCCUCUUUGAGAGACCAUAUUG
RNAcentral lists this ribosomal RNA (297 nucleotides) under Boccardia proboscidea. RNAcentral describes it as "partial 16S ribosomal RNA". It matches the Rfam family "Bacterial large subunit ribosomal RNA", at positions 1959 to 2507 of the family's 2925-position model. The record is from RNAcentral. Lineage: Eukaryota; Metazoa; Annelida; Polychaeta; Spionida; Spionidae.